This 439-nucleotide non-coding RNA is filed under the name Pan troglodytes (chimpanzee). Lineage: Eukaryota; Metazoa; Chordata; Mammalia; Primates; Hominidae. The record is from RNAcentral.
CUUUCAGCCCUCACCUCCCAGGAAUGGGGAGGGGGCAUCCUACCCCAUAUCUGAGGUGCGACUGCGGGACGUAGAGCGGACUGGGCCUUUCCCGCUGGCCCGUGGCCUCAAUCAGGGAGUCUUCCUCUGUCACCCAGGCUGGAAUGCUGUGGCACCUUGAAGACUCACUACAGCCUCAACUUUCUGGCCUCCAGCAAUCCUCCAAACACAUCCUCCAAAGUAGCUGUUAUUACAAGUGCGCACUACCACACCGGGAUAGUUUUUGGUUAUUGUUUGGAUGGCUCUUUUAUUAAUAUUACUAUUUUUUGCAGAGAUGGGGUUCCACCAUAUUGCUCACGCUGGCCUAGAACUGCCGAGCUCAAAGAAUCCACCUACCGUGACGUCCCAAAGUUGUGGAAUUGCAGUGCUUCACUGGCCCCGGCCUUAUUUCCAAAAUGAA